AUGCUUCUCCUAAAGACUAAGCCAUGCAUGUCUCCGAAUAAGAGGAAGCAAUUCUCUCUGAAUCUGCGAACGGCUCCGCAAACCAGUUGUAAACCAUAGCAGUGUUCCGCCCGGCUUCAGCAAUGGGGUCGGGCAUUAUAUGGAUAACCGUGGUAAUUCUGAGGCUAAUACAUGACACACUAACCUGGCGGGCUGGGGCAACCCGGCUUGCUGGGGGACGCGCGAAAUCAGCAAUGCUAUAACGAACAUCGGGAAUGAGCG
RNAcentral lists this ribosomal RNA (261 nucleotides) under uncultured Stemonitis sp. Its description in RNAcentral is "partial 18S ribosomal RNA". It matches the Rfam family "Eukaryotic small subunit ribosomal RNA", at positions 28 to 256 of the family's 1831-position model. Lineage: Eukaryota; Evosea; Eumycetozoa; Stemonitida. The record is from RNAcentral.